UACGAAGGGGGCUAGCGUUGCUCGGAAUCACUGGGCGUAAAGCGCACGUAGGCGGACUCUUAAGUCGGUGGUGAAAUCCUGGAGCUCAACUCCAGAACUGCCUCCGAUACUGGGAGUCUUGAGUCCGGGAGAGGUGAGUGGAACUGCGAGUGUAGAGGUGAAAUUCGUAGAUAUUCGCAAGAACACCAGUGGCGAAGGCGGCUCACUGGCCCGGUACUGACGCUGAGGUGCGAAAGCGUGGGGAGCAAACAGG
Molecule: ribosomal RNA, 253 nt
Filed under: uncultured bacterium
Lineage: Bacteria
Description: partial 16S ribosomal RNA
Rfam family: Bacterial small subunit ribosomal RNA
Source: RNAcentral